This 413-nucleotide long non-coding RNA is filed under the name Equus caballus (horse). RNAcentral describes it as "lncRNA (ENSECAG00000046928.1)". The record is from RNAcentral. Lineage: Eukaryota; Metazoa; Chordata; Mammalia; Perissodactyla; Equidae.
GAUCCACAUUUGCAAAUGUGCAGCCUGCAGUGUGAAAAACAGCACCAUCUGUUCUGGAAGGAGCUGGAACUUCCACAAGGCUGUGAUGAGACCACAUGUGCUGGGAGCUGGGAGGACAGGAAGCAGGUGUGGUACCUGCAUUAUCUCAUUCAUCAGACCCUGACACUUUCCAGAGAAGAGUCUGUUCAUUUUCCCAUCUUCCAGAUGAGAAAGAGCUUUGGUUGCUAGAAGCUUGUAAUUAACACCUGAGACGGGAUGAAAUGGCUCUCCUGCACCAUAUGCGUCUCUGGCCUUAAACAGAGGGAACAGCUCCUGAGUGUGGCUGCCUUCCAUUUGCUGACGAGCAUCUGGCAUUUGUUGGGGGAAAAAAAAUCUCCCAAAUCCACCUCUAGCUCUGAGAUUUUACCAGCACC